GACGAACGCUGGCGGCGUGCUUAACACAUGCAAGUCGAACGGAAAGGCCCUGCUUGCAGGGUGCUCGAGUGGCGAACGGGUGAGUAACACGUGGGUGAUCUGCCCCUUACUUUGGGAUAAGCCUGGGAAACUGGGUCUAGUACUGGAUAGGACCAUGCUGUAGGUGGUGUGGUGGAAAGAUUAGUUUCGGUAAGGGAUGAGCUCGCGGCCUAUCAGCUUGUUGGUGGGGUAAUGGCCUACCAAGGCGUCGACGGGUAGCCGGCCUGAGAGGGUGGACGGCCACAUUGGGACUGAGAUACGGCCCAGACUCCUACGGGAGGCAGCAGUGGGGAAUAUUGCACAAUGGGCGCAAGCCUGAUGCAGCGACGCCGCGUGGGGGAUGACGGCCUUCGGGUUGUAAACUCCUUUCAGCCAUGACGAAGCCCUUGUGGUGACGGUAGUGGUAGAAGAAGCACCGGCUAACUACGUG
Molecule: ribosomal RNA, 469 nt
Filed under: uncultured bacterium
Lineage: Bacteria
Description: partial 16S ribosomal RNA
Rfam family: Bacterial small subunit ribosomal RNA
Source: RNAcentral